Dermacentor andersoni is the source of this 400-nucleotide long non-coding RNA. RefSeq lists it as uncharacterized. Lineage: Eukaryota; Metazoa; Arthropoda; Arachnida; Ixodida; Ixodidae. The record is from RefSeq and is a predicted model, not a curated record.
ACGCUUCGGGCAAGUACCCGACGGGGGCUCUGCAGGCCACAAAGUCCGACUUUGGCGCAUUCGACGAGUGCCUGGAGACCGAGGUAAAGGACAGCCACGGCUAUGUGGCGGCGCGUGGCCAGUACUGCAACCUGCUUUUUUUCGCCGGAAACAGCAGCGACAUCGAUAAAUACAUCCUUCCCGCCAUGUCAGUGGUGGACCCUCGGAUCACUCACUUCAAAAGUCACAUAGCAAACCCCAAUAUGCCAACGUUCCGCUUAGGACUGUGCGUGCUGAAUGAGUGCACUGAAGAGGAGCUCCAAGAACUGAUUAAUGCAGCGGUCCCUCAGGGACUAGACCUCCGGAUUAAGGACUGCGUCACAGGCGAAUUUCCCCCGCUCAGCAGAACAGAGAUAAUUAU